This 649-nucleotide ribosomal RNA is filed under the name uncultured bacterium. RNAcentral's name for it is "bacterial SSU rRNA". It matches the Rfam family "Bacterial small subunit ribosomal RNA", at positions 747 to 1395 of the family's 1533-position model. The record is from RNAcentral.
UCAGAUGCGAAAGCGUGGGUAGCAAACAGGAUUAGAUACCCUGGUAGUCCACGCCGUAAACGCUGUCUACUUGGAGGUUGAGGUUUUAGACUUUGGCUUUCGGCGCUAACGCAUUAAGUAGACCGCCUGGGGAGUACGGCCGCAAGGUUAAAACUCAAAUGAAUUGACGGGGGCCCGCACAAGCGGUGGAGCAUGUGGUUUAAUUCGAUGCAACGCGAAGAACCUUACCUACUCUUGACAUCCAGCGAAGCCUUUAGAGAUAGAGGCGUGCCUUCGGGAGCGCUGAGACAGGUGCUGCAUGGCUGUCGUCAGCUCGUGUUGUGAAAUGUUGGGUUAAGUCCCGCAACGAGCGCAACCCUUAUCCUUGUUUGCCAGCACGUAAUGGUGGGAACUCCAGGGAGACUGCCGGUGAUAAACCGGAGGAAGGUGGGGACGACGUCAAGUCAUCAUGGCCCUUACGAGUAGGGCUACACACGUGCUACAAUGGCAGAUACAGAGGGCAGCGAGACAGCGAUGUUUAGCGAAUCCCUUAAAGUUUGUCGUAGUCCGGAUUGGAGUCUGCAACUCGACUCCAUGAAGUCGGAAUCGCUAGUAAUCGUGGAUCAGAAUGCCAUGGUGAAUACGUUCCCGGGCCUUGUACACUCCGCCC